UUUCAAAAAUAAUAAUUUUCUCCAGCAAGUAUAUGAACAACUCUAUUCAAAUAGAGACUCCUAUGCUAAAACUACUAAUAUGAGAAACCACUCUACAUGCGCAUUCAUCACUCAAACAGCACAGACAAUUAACAGACCUAAAAAGGACAAGUAAAAUUUAAUAAAUACACCCUUUAAAUACUGUGAAUCCGACUCAGGUGCGCAACGUAAUAUAAUUAAGAGUUACAAAAGGAACUCGGCAAACAUAGAUUCCAACUGUUUACCAAAAACAUAGCCUUUAGCUAAACAAAUAUUGAAGGUAAUGCCUGCCCAGUGAAAUCACUUUUAACGGCCGCGGAACCCUAACCGUGCAAAGGUAGCGUAAUCA
RNAcentral lists this ribosomal RNA (367 nucleotides) under Antillotyphlops geotomus (Leeward blindsnake). RNAcentral's name for it is "partial 16S ribosomal RNA". The record is from RNAcentral. Lineage: Eukaryota; Metazoa; Chordata; Lepidosauria; Squamata; Typhlopidae.